Molecule: transfer RNA, 73 nt
Filed under: Culex quinquefasciatus (southern house mosquito)
Lineage: Eukaryota; Metazoa; Arthropoda; Insecta; Diptera; Culicidae
Description: tRNA-Thr
Rfam family: tRNA
About the family: Transfer RNA (tRNA) molecules are approximately 80 nucleotides in length. Their secondary structure includes four short double-helical elements and three loops (D, anti-codon, and T loops).
Source: RNAcentral
ACAGCUGUGGUUGAAUGGUCACAGUGUUCGCUUUGUAAGCGAAUGGUUGUGGGUUCGAUUCCCAUCUGCUCCC